This 77-nucleotide transfer RNA is filed under the name Candidatus Methylomirabilota bacterium. RNAcentral describes it as "candidate division NC10 bacterium (sediment metagenome) tRNA-Pro". It matches the Rfam family "tRNA". Rfam says of the family: Transfer RNA (tRNA) molecules are approximately 80 nucleotides in length. Lineage: Bacteria; Methylomirabilota (SeqCode). The record is from RNAcentral.
CGGGGCGUGGCGCAGCCUGGCAGCGCACCUGCUUUGGGAGCAGGGGGUCGGAGGUUCAAAUCCUCUCGCCCCGACCA